RNAcentral lists this long non-coding RNA (1964 nucleotides) under Helianthus annuus (common sunflower). Lineage: Eukaryota; Viridiplantae; Streptophyta; Magnoliopsida; Asterales; Asteraceae. The record is from RNAcentral.
AUGGUUAAUUUGAUCAAAAGUAUUUCCUUUCCUUUCCUUCUUUCUGGAGAUUGGUCAUCUCUAAGUAGACCUAACAUAAACCCUAUACAUUUUUUCGAAUCUUCUUAUUUGUUUACGAACUUUUUGAUUUUUCAGUUGUUCAGUGGAUGAUCCAGAUCUCCGUUUAGCAGCUAUGCACUUUCUGCGAUUGUGGGGAUCCUCUUUUCUACAAUUUUCACCUUCUUCUUCGCAUUAGGUGCUUCAAUUUAAGAUUCUUCAAUUUUUUGAAGAACGGUCUAAUUUACUCAGACACCUUGAGGCAACCAAAGGUACACUUCAUAUGAAGGAAGGCAUUGUAAACUAUUCAACACAGAUUAUUUGAGGCUAUUGUAGAACUGUUAAGUUGAAUGGACACAAUAAUUAAUCUUAAUCAACAAUUUUUUUUUUCUGUUUUUGUAUUAUUUUUUAAAGCAUCUUAUUUUUACGGACAUGGUAAUUGAUGUUAAUAAGCAUCUUAUAUGUUUUAUCUUUAUAGAUACCAAAGGCCACACAGUUGGUACUGUUUCGUUGCCAGGUUUGGACCCAUUAGGGCAUCUAGGAGAAGGUAACAUUAAGAGCCCCUUAACUUUUCGAAUAUAAAAUCUUAAAAUAAUUAUAAAUGAAAGUUGCGUCAACUGUUAGCCGAUGGUUCCACAACCUUUAAGGUUUGUGUAAGUUCAAACAUAAUAGAGUUAGAACACCCGCUAGCUAUGUGCGUCUGUUAAGGAAACAUUUCACAUUAAUGAUAUUUUGGCUUAUAUUUUAUGUUGGUAAUCAUCACCAACUCUUUAAGAAAUGUGUUGAUUUGUGUUGUUAGAACCCCCACCUCCACCUCAGCCUUCAUCUCCACCCCCUUCACUACAAUAUUAAUCGCCAUAAGUAUAAUUAUAGCCCGUGAGCCCAUUUGGGCAUGUUUUUUCUCAAGUGACCCGCUCAAUUUGGUCAUGACUUCCAUCUUCAUCGGAUGUAAAUACCUUGAGUUUUUGCAGUCAAUUGAACUUGAAUUUUGUAGUCACUGUGAGUGAAGUUGAGGCUUUGUAUGAGCUUUUCAAGGAGUUCAGUAGCUCCAUCCUUAAUGAUGGUCUCAUGCACAAGUGUUAUUUUUGAAUGUGGACCAAAACAGACCCAUUUACAUCUACCGUACUUCUAGGAUGACUCAUUAUGUUGUACCGAGGAUUGGUAGCAUCAAGCUUGACUCUAUACAAUUUAUCAUGAGAGAAUGGACAAACUAAGAUAAAAUGAGUACCCCAUUAUAAAUGGUUGAUGUCACUGGACCAUUGUCUUCUCCGGUCAAACUUACACCGACCAGCGCCAUUCCUGGUGAGGGUUUUGUGGUUGUAAUCUCUAUGCUUGAUAAAGUUCCCUGACUACUGAACUUGAGGAAAUGAUGGUCGACAUUCUCAUGUUAUGUAUGCAUACUUGAUAGUGGAGGAUGAUUCUGCAAAAAAGGAUAAUACCAAAGUUACCCUAAAUUUAUGGAAUACAUGAAGAAAGUUGUCAUAGAGUUGAGAGCAUAUCAUUCUAUUCUUUUUGAAAUUGAAAGGCGAAAGAUUGCUGCUUAAGGCAUUGUUAUAUCUAGGACCAUUUUGAUAAGGACACACAGUGAGGAGGAUAGGGACAAGCUUGCAGUUGCCAAGCACUAUCAACCAAAAUCAAUUGUGCGUCAAGUGACGUGGUUCAAUGGGUUAUUUUCAUAACAGCUAUGACCGUGAAGUUAACUUAUGAACAGGAUACCAAGAAUGGUGUGAGUAAACAUCGGUUGAUGUACUUUGGGAAACUUGUGGUUGUAUAUUGCUUGUAACGAGAUACAAAGUCGUAUCGAAUGCAUAAAACAGAGAACAUUUUUUAUGGUUGCAUAUCUUCAUGAUGCUUAGUGUUUCAAGUCUCUUGGAAGAAAAAAAAUGGAAAACAAGAUGAGUGUGUAUGCCAAUGGUAUAUUAAAUCGA